Molecule: small RNA, 1159 nt
Filed under: Pleosporales sp. TK31
Lineage: Eukaryota; Fungi; Ascomycota; Dothideomycetes; Pleosporales
Description: eukaryotic LSU rRNA
Rfam family: Eukaryotic large subunit ribosomal RNA (bases 447-1159)
Source: RNAcentral
GGGGGAUCCGUCCCCCUCCGAGAUCGUAUCACCACCCUUCUUUACCGUACCUGACUUCUUCCUCGGUGGGGCGACCCGCCGACGGAACGUUCGAAACCCUUUUUUUUAUACAAGCAGUACCGUUCCGAUGAAAAAUACAAUCGUUACAAUCUUCAACAAUGGAUCUCUUGGCUCUGGGAUCGAUGAAGAACGCAUCGAAAUGCGAUAAGUAUUGUGAAUUGCAUAAUCCAGUGAAUCAUCCAAUCUUUGAACGCACAUUGCGCCCCUCGGAAUUCCGUGGGGCAUGCCUGUUCGAGCGUCAUUUCAAGGGUCAGGCUCUGCUUGGUGUUGGGCGUCUGUCCGCGCACUUCUGCGCCAGGACUCGCCCCAAAGUCAUUGGCAGCCCAGGCCGUCCGACCCGUCCGCAGCACAUUGCGUCGGCGGGUUCGAACGCGGCCUCCGCGUCCAGCAAGCUCUUCCGGCGAGUGAAGCGGCAACAGCUCAAAUUUGAAAUCUGGCCUCCUCUGGGGGUCCGAGUUGUAAUUUGCAGAGGGUGCUUUGGCAUCGGCGGCGGUCUAAGUUCCUUGGAACAGGACAUCGCAGAGGGUGAGAAUCCCGUACGUGGGCGCCUGCCUUUGCCGUGUAAAGCCCCUUCGACGAGUCGAGUUGUUUGGGAAUGCAGCUCUAAAUGGGAGGUAAAUUUCUUCUAAAGCUAAAUACCGGCCAGAGACCGAUAGCGCACAAGUAGAGUGAUCGAAAGAUGAAAAGUACUUUGGAAAGAGAGUAAAAUAGCACGUGAAAUUGUUGUAGAGGAAGCGCUUGCAGCCAGACUUCCCCGUAGUUGCUCACCCGGGCCCCGUGCCCGGGGCACUCUUCUGCGGGGAGGCCAGCAUCAGUUUGGGCGGUCGGAUAAAGGCCUCUGUCACGUAUCUCCCUUCGGGGUGACCUUAUAGGGGAGGCGUAAUGCGACCAGCCCGGACUGAGGUCCGCGCAUCUGCCAGGAUGCUGGCGUAAUGGCUGUAAGCGGCCCGUCUUGAAACACGGACCAAGGAGUCUAACAUCUAUGCGAGUGUUUGGGUGUCAAGCCCGGGCGCGCAAUGAAAGUGAACGGAGGUGGGAACCCUUUGGGUGCACCAUCGACCGAUCCUGAAGUCUUCGGAUGGAUUUGAGUAAGAGCAUA